CUGCUUAUGAGGACUCAGGCAGGUGUCCCGAGAAAUCACCCAGUCAUGAGAGGAACCAUAAGAACUUUGUAAGAGCUGUUGGAAAGAGGAGGAGUACACGUGGCUGGUGCAUGAACCUUGAAACGAUGAGUGAAUGAAGGCGGGAGUUACUGGAAGGAAGGUAAGG
Molecule: long non-coding RNA, 166 nt
Organism: Pongo pygmaeus (Bornean orangutan)
Lineage: Eukaryota; Metazoa; Chordata; Mammalia; Primates; Hominidae
Exons: 3
Source: RefSeq, a predicted model, not a curated record